UACAGGCUGCGUUGUACGUAAUCAUAACGAAGUUUUAACCUUUAAACUGUAAUAGGGAGUUUUACAUCGAAGUUGGAAUGUCAAGCCUCCACGAUUGAGGACGACAGGAAACCUUCUGCAAACACCCACUUUGAGGAGUGGUGGUUUAAAACUUUCUUAUAUCAAAUUACGGCAACUGUGGCUCAUAA
The sequence is a non-coding RNA, 188 nucleotides long. It matches the Rfam family "6S / SsrS RNA". Rfam says of the family: E. coli 6S RNA was the first non coding RNA to be sequenced, but its function was unknown until recently. It consists of 184 nucleotides that fold into an extended hairpin structure with a large single-stranded internal bulge. The record is from Rfam.